This 500-nucleotide ribosomal RNA is filed under the name uncultured bacterium. RNAcentral describes it as "partial 16S ribosomal RNA". It matches the Rfam family "Bacterial small subunit ribosomal RNA", at positions 30 to 523 of the family's 1533-position model. The record is from RNAcentral.
AUUGAACGCUGGCGGCAUGCCUUACACAUGCAAGUCGAACGGCAGCACGGGAGCAAUCCUGGUGGCGAGUGGCGAACGGGUGAGUAAUAUAUCGGAACGUGCCCAGUAGUGGGGGAUAGCCCGGCGAAAGCCGGAUUAAUACCGCAUACGACCUGAGGGUGAAAGGGGUGGAUCGCAAGACCUCUCGCUAUUGGACCGGCCGAUAUCAGAUUAGGUAGUUGGUGGGGUAAAGGCCUACCAAGCCUGCGAUCUGUAGUUGGUCUGAGAGGACGACCAGCCACACUGGGACUGAGACACGGCCCAGACUCCUACGGGAGGCAGCAGUGGGGAAUUUUGGACAAUGGGCGCAAGCCUGAUCCAGCAAUGCCGCGUGCAGGAAGAAGGCCUUCGGGUUGUAAACUGCUUUUGUCAGGGAAGAAAUCCUCUAGGCUAAUACCUUGGGGGGAUGACGGUACCUGAAGAAUAAGCACCGGCUAACUACGUGCCAGCCGCCGCAGUAA